This 890-nucleotide long non-coding RNA is filed under the name Ananas comosus (pineapple). RNAcentral describes it as "long non-coding RNA (ACOM_LNC015565)". The record is from RNAcentral. Lineage: Eukaryota; Viridiplantae; Streptophyta; Magnoliopsida; Poales; Bromeliaceae.
AGUACGAAGGCUUUCGUACUUAUUAGUUAUUUUUAAUAAUAGGAUAUCCGAUUUGGCGAUGGUUCCAUUAAACAUGAUUUAUGCUAUUAAAAUUAUCUAGAAAAAAUAUUUCAUAAUUUUUUUAUUUCAUUUGUCUAGUGAACAAAUAGCCUAUCAUUUAAUAAAUAAUUACAAAAAUUAUAAAAUUUAGUUUCUAGACAGUUCCUAUAGCGUAGAUUAUACCUAACGGAGCCAAGUAUCGAAUUAGAUGUCCUAUCAUUGUAAUAAUAUGAAUGUUCAGGCUUUGAUGCAUGAAUUUUUUUUUGGAGAGAGAAAUAUAAUAUACUAUCCGAUUCGUUUAUUUUUUUUAGAAAUAAAAUUAGUGAAAAUGUGAAUAAAUUAGAAUUCGAACUUAAACCUCAGAUACCAACCAUCAAUCCUUUUACUACUUGCGCUUGGGACGGUCGGUAACGCAUGAAUAUUUUGUUAAUAUGUUUCUUUUGAUUCAAUCAAGAAAUUUGCAGUGUUUGGUUGAUAUCAUUAUAUCUGGUUUCAAAAAAUAUUUCUCAAGAUAAGUCAAAGGUAAAAAUAGUAUAAAACUUAUAUGGAUUAUGAAUAAUUUUGAAUUAGCUAUCCAAACUUUCAAAAUUUUAAUGUUACUAUCCAAUCACUUAAUUUGUUUGACUUGAGUCAAUCAACAACAGUUUGACUUUAAAAAAUAAACUAAUUGUUUUCUUUAACAAAUUUAUAUUUGCUAGAAUCACGUGAAAUAUACUAAAUAAACUCGUAAAGACGAGCAACACAAUAAAAUUUUGAAACAAAUUAAAAUUCUGAAUAAUAAAAUCAAAAUUUUGAAAAUUUAGAUAGCUAAAUCAAAAUGGCACAUAAUUCCUAAGUUAAAAUAUCUUACA